Long non-coding RNA from Hemicordylus capensis (graceful crag lizard), 1023 nucleotides. RefSeq lists it as uncharacterized. The record is from RefSeq and is a predicted model, not a curated record. Lineage: Eukaryota; Metazoa; Chordata; Lepidosauria; Squamata; Cordylidae. The transcript has 3 exons.
GCGGGGCUUCCACUGAGGCCUCCGUGUAGGCCGCAGUGAAGCCUGAACUCGAGUAGAGCCUAAGCCAGCCCGGAAGGAGGAGGCAGCCAGAGUGGCCACCACUGUUCUCUGCAGCAGAAGACCCCUUGCAGCCAGAUCCAAGAUAGAAUCUUCACAUCCCUUCAGAUCCAAGAUAGAAUCUUCACAUCCCUUCAGAUCCAAGAUAGAAUCUUCACAUCCCUUCAGUUCCAAGAUAGAAUCUUCACAUCCCUUCAGAUACAGUGCUUUUCAGUUGAGCCAGAUCACACAUGCAACUGCCAAUCAUCAAGAAACGUGGAGAAGUCAAGUGAUAAGAGUGGUAGGUGGGCAUGAGGGUCAGGAGGACCUUCUCUGUGAUGGUGCCAAGGUUAUCGAACAUCUUCCCAAGUGAAGUCCACCAGUUCCUUCUCUGCAUACCUUCCAACAGGCAGUUAAAAUGUAUGUUCUUCAGCAGGCUUUUUGAGGUCUACAUUUUAAUAGCAGUGUGUUGAUGCGGCUGUGUGUUUUAAUUUUCUUAUUACUAAUGUUUUAAUGUUUUUUGUUUAAUUUACAUGUACUGUUAUGAUGUUCCUUUGUAUUUUGUUAGUCACUUUGAGAUUUUCUCUGAAAUAGAAAAGCAGGAUGAAAAUACUGUGAAAUGAAAUAAAUAUAUACCUGUGUAACCCAGUGUUCAGAAAUCAAGUACAGAGAAAUCAGGAAUACAUACACAUGUUUAAAUCAAGCCUUAGAAGAGGAGGCAAAGAAAGAUACUGUGAACAUCAUGAACAUAAAUCAAAAUAGAUUUAAAGUUUUAAGUUUUAAAGUAUUAUCUAAAUUUUAAUUGUUUUAAUUGUGUUGAUGUGUUAAUUAUUGUUUUGUUUUAAAUUAUUAACCAUUCCAGAGAUUUUUAUAUGAGGUGGUAUAGAAACGUACCAAAUAAAAUAAGAAUAAUAAACAUGUUCCAAGUACCAACCAAGGCUCUUUCUCACCUUUAUUUUUGCUUCAUGUGUCUCAGGCAUAGGUGAC